Molecule: microRNA precursor, 109 nt
Filed under: Fragaria vesca subsp. vesca
Lineage: Eukaryota; Viridiplantae; Streptophyta; Magnoliopsida; Rosales; Rosaceae
Description: Fragaria vesca miR172b stem-loop (fve-MIR172b)
Gene: fve-MIR172b
Source: miRBase by way of RNAcentral
GCGGGUGCAGCAUCAUCCAGAUUCACAGGUUUUAUUACUGACAUCCUCAUUUGAAUCUUUGAGAUGUCAUGAUGAUCCGAGUUGAGAAUCUUGAUGAUGCUGCAUCAGC